UAGCAUAUCAAUAAGCGGAGGAAAAGAAACCAACAGGGAUUGCCCUAGUAACGGCGAGUGAAGCGGCAACAGCUCAAAUUUGAAAUCUGGCUCUUUCAGAGUCCGAGUUGUAAUUUGCAGAGGGCGCUUUGGCGUUGGCAGCGGUCCAAGUUCUUUGGAACAGGACGUCACAGAGGGUGAGAAUCCCGUACGUGGUCGCUAGACUUCGCCGUGUAAAGCCCCUUCGACGAGUCGAGUUGUUUGGGAAUGCAGCUCUAAAUGGGAGGUAAAUUUCUUCUAAAGCUAAAUACUGGCCAGAGACCGAUAGCGCACAAGUAGAGUGAUCGAAAGAUGAAAAGCACUUUGGAAAGAGAGUCAAACAGCACGUGAAAUUGUUGAAAGGGAAGCGCUUGCAGCCAGACUUGCCUGUAGUUGCUUAUCCAGACUUCUGUCUGGUGCACUCUUCUAUAGGCAGGCCAGCAUCAGUUUGGGCGGUUGGAUAAAGGUCUCUAUCACGUACCUCUCUUCGGGGAGGCCUUAUAGGGGAGACGCCAUGCAACCAGCCCAGACUGAGGUCCGCGCAUCUGCUAGGAUGCUGGCGUAAUGGCUGUAAGCGGCCCGUCUUGAAACACGGACCAAGGAGUCUAACAUCUAUGCGAGUGUUUGGGUGUCAAGCCCAUACGCGUAAUGAAAGUGAACGGAGGUGGGAACCUUUUAGGUGCACCAUCGACCGAUCCUGAUGUCUUCGGAUGGAUUUGAGUAAGAGCAUGGCUGUUGGGACCCGAAAGAUGGUGAACUAUGCUUGAAUAGGGUGAAGCCAGAGGAAACUCUGGUGGAGGCUCGCAGCGGUUCUGACGUGCAAAUCGAUCGUCAAAUUUGGGCAUAGGGGCGAAAGACUAAUCGAACUAUCUAGUAGCUGGUUCCUGCCGA
This 909-nucleotide ribosomal RNA is filed under the name Ophiosphaerella sp. Its description in RNAcentral is "partial large subunit ribosomal RNA". It matches the Rfam family "Eukaryotic large subunit ribosomal RNA", at positions 36 to 964 of the family's 3401-position model. Lineage: Eukaryota; Fungi; Ascomycota; Dothideomycetes; Pleosporales; Phaeosphaeriaceae. The record is from RNAcentral.